UGCGGAUUCGUCUAGUGGUAGGACGUCUGACUCUGACUCAGAAAGCCCUGGUUCGAGCCCAGGAUCCGCAU
RNAcentral lists this transfer RNA (71 nucleotides) under Anaerolineales bacterium. RNAcentral's name for it is "tRNA-Gln". It matches the Rfam family "tRNA". Rfam says of the family: Transfer RNA (tRNA) molecules are approximately 80 nucleotides in length. Their secondary structure includes four short double-helical elements and three loops (D, anti-codon, and T loops). Lineage: Bacteria; Bacillati; Chloroflexota; Anaerolineae; Anaerolineales. The record is from RNAcentral.